UACGUAGGUGACAAGCGUUGUCCGGAUUUACUGGGCGUAAAGAGCGCGCAGGCGGUCGAUCAAGUCGAGUGUGAAAGCCCCCGGCUCAACUGGGGAGGGUCAUUCGAUACUGGGGAGCUUGAGUACAGAAGAGGAGAGUGGAAUUCCAUGUGUAGCGGUGAAAUGCGUAGAUAUAUGGAGGAACACCAGUGGCGAAGGCGGCUCUCUGGUCUGUAACUGACGCUGAGGCGCGAAAGCGUGGGGAGCAAACAGG
RNAcentral lists this ribosomal RNA (253 nucleotides) under uncultured bacterium. Its description in RNAcentral is "partial 16S ribosomal RNA". It matches the Rfam family "Bacterial small subunit ribosomal RNA", at positions 524 to 776 of the family's 1533-position model. The record is from RNAcentral.